RNAcentral lists this long non-coding RNA (733 nucleotides) under Mus musculus (house mouse). RNAcentral's name for it is "predicted gene, 49795". Lineage: Eukaryota; Metazoa; Chordata; Mammalia; Rodentia; Muridae. The record is from RNAcentral.
GGCUCCUGAAGAUGUAAGCAAUAAAGCUUUUGCCGCAGAAGAUUCUGGUUUGCUGCGUCUUUCCUGGCCGGUCGCGAGAACGCGUGUAAGAGUUGGUGCUGAGACCCGGGACGAGAAGACCUGGGACGAGAAAACCCGGGACAAGAAAACCCGGGACGGUUACCAUCACCGGAGCAUGGAAGAUCCCUCAUUCCGGAACCAGAACUGCGGGUCAUGGUAAUGAAGUGUUCCCGUAAAACAGACUGUUGAGAAGGAUCCAGCCUGGAUUCAGAACUCCUCAGCUGGGGAACGGUGGUAAUGAAGUGUUCCCGCAAAACAGACUGUUGAGAAGGAUUCAACUGCGUGAAUUCAGAACUCUUCAGCUGGGGAACAGGGUACCCGUAAGUAUAGCUUUACAAGGUAAGUCUGGUCUUGAACUUUCUAACGAAAUUCAAGACAGUCUAUCAGAAGUAAAGUGGGAAAUAGCUUUACAAGGUAUGUUUGGCCUUAAACUUUCUCUAGUGUUAGAAGCCCUUUUGUUCCUUUUCACAUGUUAUCAAGCGGUUAAGGCAGGGCUGAAAAUUCUGGAUGAAAUUCAGGGCAAUCUAUCAGAAGUAAAGCGGGGAGAGAGAGUAGGAGCAAAGAGGAAAUAUGGUUCACAAAAUAAGUAUACAGGCCUUUCCACGGGUCUUGAACCCGAGGAAAAGUUUAGGUCAGGUAAGAAUACCUGGGGAGAGAUUAGAAGGAAGGAAAA